Y RNA from Carassius auratus (goldfish), 107 nucleotides. It matches the Rfam family "Y RNA". Rfam says of the family: Y RNAs are components of the Ro ribonucleoprotein particle (Ro RNP), in association with Ro60 and La proteins. The Y RNAs and Ro60 and La proteins are well conserved, but the function of the Ro RNP is not known. Lineage: Eukaryota; Metazoa; Chordata; Actinopteri; Cypriniformes; Cyprinidae. The record is from Ensembl.
GGCUGGUCCGAAGGCGGAGGGUUAGUCACAAUUGAUUGCUUCAGUCAGUUACAGAACUCCUUGUUUCUUCUCUCCCCUCUCCCACCGCUGAACUUGACUAGCCUUUU